This 2878-nucleotide long non-coding RNA is filed under the name Homo sapiens (human). Its description in RNAcentral is "PCBP1 antisense RNA 1, transcript variant 65 (PCBP1-AS1)". The record is from RNAcentral. Lineage: Eukaryota; Metazoa; Chordata; Mammalia; Primates; Hominidae.
GUCCCCGGCGUCCGGGCGCCCUGCAUGGAUCCCCCACCCCAGCUCCUGCUCCCCGGCGGCGGCCGGUGGGCAGAAAGACCGAAACCCACUCACGGCCGCCUGCCGAAUCGCGGCUCUGCUGUUUGUGGGGCGUGCUAGAAACGUGGUCCUAAAAAGAAUGGCGUCCAUUUACAUAAUGCUUUGUUUGCGUUUCGCAAGUUUCUUUCGGUUAAAGCCACAGAAACCCCACCUCCUGCCCUUGUGUCGUUUCCACCGCGGCACCCUUUUCCGACAUUAGAAACAAUAGUGUACGCCUGUGGAGGCCUCGUUUGUUCAGGGGCUGCCGGCCAGGGCUUCAGGACGUUUCUGCGGCUUUCCCCGCGCGGCCUGGGCUCCCGCGGCUGCUUUUCGGGCCCAUGGGCGCAGCCACUGCGCCAGGCUCAAGGGGGGCGGCCCCGUCAGGGCCCGCCAUCUUGGAAGGCCUUUUUUGCCGGUUCUUCCCGCUGAGGAAGUGUCGCUCAAGACGCUGGCCUAUGAGUUGUGAUUUCUGCCUUUUCCCCUUCCUCCUUGGGCUAAGCCAGACCAGAAAGGGCCCCGUGCGCAACGUGCUUCACAAUCUCUCAGGGAAAGCGGCUAACGUGGCGCUACUCCGCCUCCCCUGUUCCUUACCCUUGGGGCGGCCGCCAUGUUUCCUGAACACAAAAUGGCGACACGUGGUUAGCAUUCGUCGCCAACGAGAAAUUGGGGUCGGCCCGAAAGCUCUAGAAUGCACCCCUCUUCCUCCCCGGGGCCUUCCACCUCCGCGAGUUUUAUGACUUAAAAAAGCCCACAGGCUGGUCUGAAGGUCGGAGGCCUAAUUUUAACGCGUUUUCCUCCCUUUAAUUUGAAACGGGAACGCGAAUGACUGUAAAAUGUGGGCACAAUAUUUAAUCUCUCGCCUUUUUAAAGCUUAAUAGUGGAUAAUAGGGGGGCAGUAUCAAGGGAUAAUUUGGGUCCCCACAGUACCAAAGCAUUUAGAAACCUCUGUUUAAUUUAAGGAAUGAGAUAAGUUACUGCUUUUCUAGACUUCCUAGCAUGGGCUGUUGUGCUGGAGAGAACGAGAGCUACGAAGAGACUACAGUGCCUCUGACUUUUUCAUAGGACAGUUGGCCGAGGAAGACAAACAUAAAGAUGAAGUGCUUAAUUCAAGGUCACACAAUGUCGGGGAUGGACCUCCAGAUUUCCUUACUGGUGAGACGUGGUCUUGUAACACAGUGGUUAAGAAUGUGACUUUGGAGCCAGCCUGCUAGGGGCUGAAUUCUGACUCAGCCAUUUACUAACUGUGUGACCUUAGGCUGGAGUGCAAUGGCAUGAUCUCGGCUCAUCACAACCUCUGCUUCCUGGGUUCAAGCGAUUCUCCUGCCUCAGCCUCCCGAGUACCUGGGACUACAGGCACUCGCCACCAUGCCCGGCUGAUUUUUGUAUUUUUAAUAGAGAUGGUUUCACUAUGUUGGCCAGGCUGGUCUCGAACUCCUGACCUUGUGAUCUGCCCACCUCAGCCUCGAAAAGUGCUGGGAUUACAGGCGUGAGCCACUGCGCCCAGCCUUGUAUUUUUUUUCAGUUUGGGUAGCUGUCCCUAAUUCAUUUGUUAAAGGAGAAGCAAGAGCAAGAACCUUUAAUCUGUUCUCCUCUUCCCUAAUUUGAAAGUAGCUUGUUAUUUUGAAUAUCACUUUCUCUGAAAUAGCACAUCUCCAUCUCAGAGAAUGGAUUUAAUGUUUGGAUACAGCCAAAAGUCAUUUCAUUACCAAACCAUGGGGUGAAUAUACCAUGUAAAGCAGUUUGGGAUCAGAACUCACAGUCUGAAUUGUAAGUGAUGAGACUGCUGUCUCUCUGCUACAGCUUCUUGGCUGGCUCUGAAGGCUCUUUGAAGGCAGAUCCUAACAAGGGGACUGCUUUGAAGGGCCAUUGUUCAUUUGGAAUGAUAAAGUCUAUGUUGUUCAAAAAACAAAUGCUUGUAGCAGGUAUUUUUUCACUCCAGACUGAGAAUAUUGGUGGGAUAUUGAUAAGGGGUACUGAAUGGUAAUAAACAUGUGCUCUAGCUCUGUGCUAGUCAGCUUAUUUCAGAACUCUAGUUUGAUUCAGUUUCUUGCCUCUGACUCAAAAUGGAGGGAGAGUGAUUUUUACAUAAGAGAACACACCCACAUAUCCUUUUGGCAGCAGCUACCUGCCAGAGAUGUUGAAGAAGAGUAGCCAACCUUUACACAGCAGAUAUUGUGUGCCAGUCAUAGUCCUAAGUAUAAUACCUUACAUGUAUAAACUUCUUAUAAGGUUGGUGCUCUGUACCGAAUUGAAUAGUAUCCCCCAAAAUUCAUGUUGUCCCAGAACCUAUGAAAGUGAUCUUACUUGAGGGAGGGGGGAGGGGGGAGGGAUAGCAUUAGGAGAUAUACCUAAUGCUAAAUGACGAGUUAAUGGGUGUAGCACACCAGCAUGGCACAUGUAUACAUAUGUAACUAACCUGCACAUUGUGCACAUGUACCCUAAAACUUAAAGUAUAAUAAUAAUAAAAUAAAAAAAAAAAAGAAAGUGAUCUUACUUGGAAAUAAGGUCUUUGCACAUAUGAUCAAGUUGAGAUGAAGUUGUACUGGAAAGUCUGUCUAGUGACUGGUGUUGUCAUAAGAAGAGAGGGACACAGAGGGAAGAUGGCCACAUGAAGAUGGAGGCAGAGAUUGCAGUUAUGCUGCUGCAAACUAAGGAAUGGCUCUGGCCCUCCAAGGAUUGCUGAUAACCACCAGAAACUAGAAGAGACAAGGAAGGAUUCUUCCCUAGAGCCUUCAGAGGGAGCAUGGCCCUACUGACACCUGGAUUUCAAACUUGUAGCUUCCUAAACUGCAAGAGAAUAAAUUUCUGUUGUUUUAAGCCA